This 291-nucleotide unclassified non-coding RNA is filed under the name Hevea brasiliensis (rubber tree). The record is from RNAcentral. Lineage: Eukaryota; Viridiplantae; Streptophyta; Magnoliopsida; Malpighiales; Euphorbiaceae.
GCGAAGAAGAGAAAUUAGAUUUAUGCAAAGACAGCAAUUUAAAUCAGUGUCAAUGUUGCUGGGACAAAAUAUUAUCCUUCUAUUAGCGACUAGCAACUGUAACACCGUGCAAACAUCAAUUCCACUAUCCUCCGAGGAUGGGUUCAAGUGUACUCUUUUCUUUGGCUCCACUUGCAAACCUAAAGAAGAAAGUAGUUCAUCUUCUCCGAUGGUUAUCAAGAAAAACGGGAGGAAAGAGAAUAAUAUCAUUCUGUUGGUGUUCUUCAGAAUCGCAUGUACAUAAGCAUCGAG